AACAUCAGCCUUAUUCAAGCUUUUGCAUACGAACACUGGCCUAUCCCCGUCUCUUUAGCUUUCAUUUCCACAAAUAAUGAUUGAAUGGUGUUAUUAAGGCUGCCUUCCCAUUCCCAUUCACAUAUAUAUUUUUUAUCUGAGAAGCGUUUCCGUUUCCAUUCCCUUGUGUAUUUAGGUUCAUUCCAAUUCCCAUUUAUAUUUAGGUUCUCCUGUUUGAACUCUCCAUAGCUUUGGCGCGCUCAAGACUUCUUGCGCAAAAAUCUUCAUAUUGGGGCAUUCUAUAAUGAUCACUUCUUCCAAAGAUGGGAAACUGAAGGUAGAAUUACCAGAGCAGAAGCUAGAGAGGCUUGGUAGAUGUUGAAGUUCCAAACAUUUUAGUUGACCGAAGCAAAUCUCCUCUUCUUCAUCUUUAUCUGCUUCAGUCACUAUAAUUUCUUGGAUCAGUCCACAUUCCUCUAUCUUCAUUUUUCUAAGUCGUUCAAGACUUCUCGCUGUUGAGGAAGAUAUUAGAUUUACUAGACGUUGGCAAUUUGAUACCUCCAGUGUUUUGAGAUUUUGGAAAGAAACUGAGGAUGGCACUAAAAUUUCCAGUCUGCCACAUUC
RNAcentral lists this unclassified non-coding RNA (603 nucleotides) under Hevea brasiliensis (rubber tree). Lineage: Eukaryota; Viridiplantae; Streptophyta; Magnoliopsida; Malpighiales; Euphorbiaceae. The record is from RNAcentral.